Molecule: ribosomal RNA, 460 nt
Filed under: uncultured bacterium
Lineage: Bacteria
Description: partial 16S ribosomal RNA
Rfam family: Bacterial small subunit ribosomal RNA
Source: RNAcentral
CCUACGGGAGGCAGCAGUGAGGAAUAUUGGUCAAUGGGCGAGAGCCUGAACCAGCCAAGUCGCGUGAAGGAUGAAGGAUCUAUGGUUUGUAAACUUCUUUUAUAAGGGAAUAAAGUGUGGGACGUGUCCUAUUUUGUAUGUACCUUAUGAAUAAGGAUCGGCUAACUCCGUGCCAGCAGCCGCGGUAAUACGGAGGAUCCGAGCGUUAUCCGGAUUUAUUGGGUUUAAAGGGUGCGUAGGCGGCCUUUUAAGUCAGGUGUGAAAGUCUGUGGCUCAACCAUAGAAUUGCCGUUGAAACUGGGGGUCUUGAGUAUGUGUGAGGCAGGCGGAAUGCGUGGUGUAGCGGUGAAAUGCUUAGAUAUCACGCAGAACCCCGAUUGCGAAGGCAGCCUGCCAAGCCAUGACUGACGCUGAUGCACGAAAGCGUGGGGAUCAAACAGGAUUAGAUACCCUUGUAGUC